UACGUAGGGGGCAAGCGUUGUCCGGAAUCAUUGGGCGUAAAGCGCGUGUAGGCGGUUCGGUAAGUCCGCUGUGAAAGUCGGGGGCUCAACCCUCGAAAGCCGGUGGAUACUGUCGGGCUAGAGUACGGAAGAGGCGAGUGGAAUUCCUGGUGUAGCGGUGAAAUGCGCAGAUAUCAGGAGGAACACCAAUUGCGAAGGCAGCUCGCUGGGACGUUACUGACGCUGAGGAGCGAAAGCCAGGGGAGCAAACGGG
RNAcentral lists this ribosomal RNA (253 nucleotides) under uncultured bacterium. RNAcentral's name for it is "partial 16S ribosomal RNA". It matches the Rfam family "Bacterial small subunit ribosomal RNA", at positions 524 to 776 of the family's 1533-position model. The record is from RNAcentral.